RNAcentral lists this ribosomal RNA (492 nucleotides) under uncultured bacterium. RNAcentral's name for it is "partial 16S ribosomal RNA". It matches the Rfam family "Bacterial small subunit ribosomal RNA", at positions 29 to 507 of the family's 1533-position model. The record is from RNAcentral.
AGUGAACGCUGGCGGUAGGCCUAACACAUGCAAGUCGAACGGAAGCACAGUAAGAGCUUGCUCUUACGGGUGGCGAGUGGCGGACGGGUGAGGAAUACAUCGGAAUCUACUUUUUCGUGGGGGAUAACGUAGGGAAACUUACGCUAAUACCGCAUACGACCUACGGGUGAAAGCAGGGGAUCUUCGGACCUUGCGCGAUUGAAUGAGCCGAUGUCGGAUUAGCUAGUUGGGGGGGUAAAGGCCCACCAAGGCGACGAUCCGUAGCUGGUCUGAGAGGAUGAUCAGCCACACUGGAACUGAGACACGGUCCAGACUCCUAAGGGAGGCGGCAGUGGGGAAUAUUGGACAAUGGGCGCAAGCCUGAUCCAGCCAUACCGCGUGGGUGAAGAAGGCCUUCGGGUUGUAAAGCCCUUUUGUUGGGAAAGAAAAGCAGCAGGUUAAUACCCCGCUGUUCUGACGGUACCCAAAGAAUAAGCACCGGCUAACUUCGUG